GACGAACGCUGGCGGCGUGCUUAACACAUGCAAGUCGAACGGUGAAGCUCCAGCUUGCUGGAGUGGAUCAGUGGCGAACGGGUGAGUAACACGUGAGCAACCUGCCCCUGACUCUGGAAUAAGCGCUGGAAACGGCGUCUAAUACUGGAUAUGAGAAGGGUCCGCAUGGACACUUUCUGGAAAGUUUUUCGGUUGGGGAUGGGCUCGCGGCCUAUCAGCUUGUUGGUGAGGUAAUGGCUCACCAAGGCGACGACGGGUAGCCGGCCUGAGAGGGCGACCGGCCACACUGGGACUGAGACACGGCCCAGACUCCUACGGGAGGCAGCAGUGGGGAAUAUUGCACAAUGGGCGAAAGCCUGAUGCAGCGACGCCGCGUGAGGGAUGACGGCCUUCGGGUUGUAAACCUCUUUCAGCAGGGAAGAAGCGAAAGUGACGGUAUCUGCAGAAGAAGCACCGGCUAACUACGUG
RNAcentral lists this ribosomal RNA (468 nucleotides) under uncultured bacterium. Its description in RNAcentral is "partial 16S ribosomal RNA". It matches the Rfam family "Bacterial small subunit ribosomal RNA", at positions 28 to 507 of the family's 1533-position model. The record is from RNAcentral.